This 342-nucleotide ribosomal RNA is filed under the name Triticum aestivum (bread wheat). Its description in RNAcentral is "partial small subunit ribosomal RNA". Lineage: Eukaryota; Viridiplantae; Streptophyta; Magnoliopsida; Poales; Poaceae. The record is from RNAcentral.
AUGCAUCUCCAUCUGGACUGUUAUUGUUUUUUCUCUACUGUAAUCUCGUCAGAUCUGAUGUUACUUGAAACCUUCUGUUAUUAUCCAAUUUAUUUUGUGCAUUACAAAGCCUUGUUGUGCCCAUGUUUGCGUUUGUCUUCGCUGUAUUUUUCAAUGACCAGGAUCAGCUUCAUUUAUUUUAGGUUUAGGGGCCAAAAUUGUUUAAUAUAUGUGUCACUACUUGUUUUGUUCUGCACUUUAUUUGUAAAGAUUAAAACUUUUCCAUUCAUAGUGGGCGUGUUUCAAAACAGGUUGAUUUCUACUCAGCCCAGAUUGACUACUUGCACUUGUCUGGCAUGGUGA